Molecule: RNase P RNA, 430 nt
Filed under: uncultured Blautia sp.
Lineage: Bacteria; Bacillati; Bacillota; Clostridia; Lachnospirales; Lachnospiraceae
Description: Bacterial RNase P class A
Rfam family: Bacterial RNase P class A
About the family: Ribonuclease P (RNase P) is a ubiquitous endoribonuclease, found in archaea, bacteria and eukarya as well as chloroplasts and mitochondria. Its best characterised activity is the generation of mature 5'-ends of tRNAs by cleaving the 5'-leader elements of precursor-tRNAs.
Source: RNAcentral
GAGGAAAGUCCGGGCUUCACAGGGCAGGAUGCCGGAUAACGUCCGGUGGAGGCAACUCCCAGACCAGUGCAACAGAAAUAUACCGCGUUAGCAAUGAGAAGUGCGCAGACAUAAAAGAAUGGACCCGAUGCAAGCUUGCUUGCAAGAGGGGACAUACUUUUAUGUCUGCAUACGGCGAAUGCCGUGUACUGAGGAUUGCCUGCAAUCCGAGGUAAGCACUUUGUAUUUACUGCGUAAGGGUGGAAAGGCAGUGUAAGAGACUACCGCCGGCCCGGUAACGGGACGGGCACAUGUAAACUCCAUUCGAAGCAAGACCGAGAAGAAAGCGAUACGGCUGCCCGUCGUGCUUUCAGGUGGGUCGCUUGAGCCUCCCGGCAACGGAAGGCCUAGAUAGAUGAUCACCCCAGACAUAACCCGGCUUACAGGUCCG